This 745-nucleotide long non-coding RNA is filed under the name Equus caballus (horse). RNAcentral's name for it is "lncRNA (ENSECAG00000056873.1)". Lineage: Eukaryota; Metazoa; Chordata; Mammalia; Perissodactyla; Equidae. The record is from RNAcentral.
GUGCUGGAGAGACAGUACAAGAAGAAAGGGUUUUGCUUCCUGGUUCUGGUGUGCAAGCUGGGCAGGUGCUUACAGCACAGGUGGCAAUCAGCACCCAGCAGCCAGCAGCUUCCUCCGGGACCCCCCUUCAGUGUUUCUGGAGCUGUGCUCUUGAUGAGACAUCUCCCUGAAAAGCUUUCCCUGGCACCCCAGAGAAUGGAUUUCUGAUAGUUGCUGGAAAUUUCUGCCAUUCUUAAACAAAGCAUCUUUGUGCUGUAUCAGCUUGCAUUUUCCUUGGAUUGUAUUUGGAUGAUGCCUUUUCACUGACUUCAGCACUGGAGUAUUGUAGCCAUGGCUUUAAACCCUGGAUCUGUUUGUGGCAACAGUGGACCCAGCUGCAGGUGGCAUACAGGAUUUCCCAACCUCCAUGGCAGCUGAGGGUGAUGAAAGAGGAGUAACUUACCAGCUGCCAGAUGUGUCGAUGUCAUUUAAUUCUUAUGCCACCUCUAUGAGGUUGAAUAUUACCUUUAAGGAAACAACAGCGGGGGCCGGCCCCUUGGCACAGUGGUAAAGUUCGCAUGCUCUGCUUUGGUGGCCUGGGGUUUCGCCGGUUUGGAUCCUGGGCAUGGACACAGCACCGCUCAUCAGGCCACGCUGAGGUGGUGUCCCACAUGCCACAACUAGAAGGACCCACAACCAAAAUAUGCAACUAUGUACUGGGGGGAUUUGGGGAGAAAAAGCAGAAAUAAAAAAAAAUAAGAUUGGC